GCAGCUGUAGUUCAGUGGUAGAAUUCUCGCCUUCCACUUGGGAAACCCGGGUUCAAUCCCCAGCCAAUGCA
RNAcentral lists this transfer RNA (71 nucleotides) under Loxodonta africana (African savanna elephant). It matches the Rfam family "tRNA". Rfam says of the family: Transfer RNA (tRNA) molecules are approximately 80 nucleotides in length. The record is from Rfam by way of RNAcentral. Lineage: Eukaryota; Metazoa; Chordata; Mammalia; Proboscidea; Elephantidae.